GCUACAGUGCUACUGGCCCAUAAUCAGGCAACUGCAGAGUCUUAGGGGGUUAUCUAAUGUAGUCUUGGGGUGGCUGGAUAGACUUCCCAAAGAAGGUGAUGCCGAAGCUGAGGUCGGAAAUUACGAAGAUCAGCUAUCAAACUUGGAAAUCAUGUCUUAGAGAUCAAGGAGCCAAGAGAUGAGACAAGCCUGGGUUCCUAGGUGAUAGGGUGUGGCUGUGUCCCCACCCAAAUCUCGUCUUGAAUUGUAGCUCCCAUAAUCCCCACAUGUUGUGGAGGGACCCUGUGGAAGAUCUUUAAUAAAUGAAAUAAAUGUGACUGUAUGUCCUACAUCCCAUUCCUGUUGUCUUCCAUGUCUCCUCAGAGAUUGUGCCUGCAGCCUGGCCUGUUGCCCACAGCGGUCUACCUGCCACACUGGGAAAGAUCGAGCAGAGACAGAGAAGAAAAGGAGGCUCCAUUUUUCAGGCUGCUCUCCCGCAGGCUCAUGUUUUGUGUUCAUGCCAGGCAGAGAACACAAAAUGUUCCAAUAAAUAAGUAUCAAAGAUGUACCCAUAGGGUCAAGCUCCAGCACAGAGACCCAUCCUGGGAUGCAGGACUUGGUGCCAGGGAAGUCCCAGGUAAACCAAAUGAGUUGGUCAUCCUACCUGGGAAGUGUGUGACCUAACAUAAGUUAUUCUGUGUACCUGCUCAGAUCUUGAAGAAGCUGACAGCUGGAAGCUGUCUGCUAACACUUUCCUUUACCUGGGAAUCAGGUCCCUCCCUAGAAUGUGGUCCUGGGGCAGUGCAUCUCCAGGACUACCACUUUUACCUUUGCCAUAGUUAUUAUACCCAUUUCUAGAAAAAGAGAUUAGUCUCAAUAAAUUUCAGUGCCUUGCGUGAGGAUUAGGGAUCUCUAACAUCAAAAUUUGAGCCUGUGUGUAUUAUCUACGUAGAUAAUUCUUGUUCACUCCUUUCAGUUUCUUUAUUGUAAUUGGCUCUGAAAUUCUUAAAAGGGUCAGUGGGCCUGUCUUCAAAGAUAGCAUCAAGGAGAGAUUGAGGGAGGUAGGAAUAUUCUGCCUUGUCCAGCUUAAGGAAGAGGGAUCCUGGAAGAGCAGAUAGGUGGCAAAGCUUUAAAUAGGGAUGGUGAGCACCACAACUCAUUGGGUCUAUGGCAAGAAAGGAGCUGAAUUCUGGACCUGGCUUGGGAGCACUGUUAGCCCUGAGAGCACGUUUGUUGCAAGGCUGUGUGUCUCCAUAGGCAGCUUUCCUCCUUGCUUGUAUUCUUGAACCCACAUUUUAUAAGCCAGCAGUGAGCAUAUGCUGAAUGCUGUGGAAUUGUUUAUGAAAAGCUUUCCCCUCUUUCCUAGAGAGCGAAAAGGUGAAAGGGGAUCUGUUAAUAGCAAGAAAAGGAAGUGGUUGAAGUGCAUUCCAUGAUUCCUUGGCCUUUAAGCCUGAAGAAGUUAAAUAAUUUGAUGCACAGAGCCUGACUACAAUUCUAAUGAGCAAGCUGGCAGAGAAAAUUAAUGAUAAUAAAUUAAUUCCAGAGAAUUCCAUUUUAUGUGCUCAAUUAUUAACGGUAUUGCAGUGUUAUUAAUGGUGUCAAUUAUUAAUGGCAUGAAUAAUUAAGAAAGCACAUCCAUGUUAUGAUGUACAAGGCUUCUAGGGUUGGGCAAAUUGCUCAGAAUAAAUAAAUAAACAUGUCAGGGUUCAGACCUAUAACAUGUUUCAGGACCCAGCCUCCAACAUGUUUCCU
Homo sapiens (human) is the source of this 1731-nucleotide long non-coding RNA. Ensembl annotates it as CCDC26 long non-coding RNA. Its record names the gene CCDC26. NCBI's taxonomy places the organism in Eukaryota, Metazoa, Chordata, Mammalia, Primates, Hominidae. The record is from Ensembl.